Arvicola amphibius (Eurasian water vole) is the source of this 359-nucleotide long non-coding RNA. RefSeq lists it as uncharacterized. The transcript has 2 exons. Lineage: Eukaryota; Metazoa; Chordata; Mammalia; Rodentia; Cricetidae. The record is from RefSeq and is a predicted model, not a curated record.
AGAGGUCUCAAGAUAUGCCAGUCAAGUGAGAUGCAGCAAUUCCACUGUGUUUCAGUUGUGUGUUGAAUGUUGCACAGUGCACCACUGUCCUGUCUGGAAUCACUUCAUCUGCAUUCUGGAAUCUGAAGGUUAUCUGUUAAUUAUGUGAAAUUAUGGCAUAUGCAGAGUCAAAUUACAGAUUAGAGAAUUACAUCCGGCUCAUCCUGGCUAUCAUCAUCCUAUUAGGUCUUGGGGUUCUAUUGUUGGAUGCUUGGAGCAGCAGAGAAAGCCCAUGAGGUCUUCAGAGAGUCCUAACCUGAAAGCCUAGUUACCCCUUCCUACACCUCAUCAAAAUGCUGGCAAUAAAGAGUCUAAGAGGA